This 440-nucleotide ribosomal RNA is filed under the name uncultured bacterium. Its description in RNAcentral is "partial 16S ribosomal RNA". It matches the Rfam family "Bacterial small subunit ribosomal RNA", at positions 338 to 795 of the family's 1533-position model. The record is from RNAcentral.
CCUACGGGAGGCAGCAGUGGGGAAUAUUGCACAAUGGGGGAAACCCUGAUGCAGCGACGCCGCGUGAGUGAAGAAGUAUUUCGGUAUGUAAAGCUCUAUCAGCAGGGAAGACAAUGACGGUACCUGAUUAAGAAGCCCCGGCUAACUACGUGCCAGCAGCCGCGGUAAUACGUAGGGGGCAAGCGUUAACCGGAUUUACUGGGUGUAAAGGGAGCGUAGACGGCAGCACAAGUCUGGAGUGAAAUGCCGGGGCUUAACCCCGGAACUGCGUUGGAAACUGUGCAGCUAGAGUGCAGGAGAGGUAAGUGGAAUUCCUAGUGUAGCGGUGAAAUGCGUAGAUAUUAGGAGGAACACCAGUGGCGAAGGCGGCUUACUGGACUGUAACUGACGUUGAGGCUCGAAAGUGUGGGGAGCGAACAGGAUUAGAUACCCGGGUAGUC